Molecule: ribosomal RNA, 253 nt
Filed under: uncultured bacterium
Lineage: Bacteria
Description: partial 16S ribosomal RNA
Rfam family: Bacterial small subunit ribosomal RNA
Source: RNAcentral
UACGUAGGGGGCAAGCGUUGUCCGGAAUCAUUGGGCGUAAAGAGCGUGUAGGCGGCCCGAUAAGUCCGCUGUGAAAGUCCAGGGCUCAACCCUGGGAUGCCGGUGGAUACUGUCGGGCUCGAAUCCGGGAGAGGGAUGUGGAAUUCCAGGUGUAGCGGUGAAAUGCGUAGAUAUCUGGAGGAACACCGGUGGCGAAGGCGGCAUCCUGGACCGGUAUUGACGCUGAUGCGCGAAAGCCAGGGGAGCAAACGGG